Molecule: ribosomal RNA, 1065 nt
Filed under: Klebsiella pneumoniae
Lineage: Bacteria; Pseudomonadati; Pseudomonadota; Gammaproteobacteria; Enterobacterales; Enterobacteriaceae
Also listed under: 1 other name
Description: partial 23S ribosomal RNA
Rfam family: Bacterial large subunit ribosomal RNA
Source: RNAcentral
UCUGAAUAUGGGGGGACCAUCCUCCAAGGCUAAAUACUCCUGACUGACCGAUAGUGAACCAGUACCGUGAGGGAAAGGCGAAAAGAACCCCGGCGAGGGGAGUGAAAAAGAACCUGAAACCGUGUACGUACAAGCAGUGGGAGCACCUUCGGGUGUGACUGCGUACCUUUUGUAUAAUGGGUCAGCGACUUAUAUUCUGUAGCAAGGUUAACCGUAUAGGGGAGCCGCAGGGAAACCGAGUCUUAACUGGGCGUUAAGUUGCAGGGUAUAGACCCGAAACCCGGUGAUCUAGCCAUGGGCAGGUUGAAGGUUGGGUAACACUAACUGGAGGACCGAACCGACUAAUGUUGAAAAAUUAGCGGAUGACUUGUGGCUGGGGGUGAAAGGCCAAUCAAACCGGGAGAUAGCUGGUUCUCCCCGAAAGCUAUUUAGGUAGCGCCUCGUGAAUUCAUCUUCGGGGGUAGAGCACUGUUUCGGCUAGGGGGUCAUCCCGACUUACCAACCCGAUGCAAACUACGAAUACCGAAGAAUGUUAUCACGGGAGACACACGGCGGGUGCUAACGUCCGUCGUGAAGAGGGAAACAACCCAGACCGCCAGCUAAGGUCCCAAAGUCAUGGUUAAGUGGGAAACGAUGUGGGAAGGCACAGACAGCCAGGAUGUUGGCUUAGAAGCAGCCAUCAUUUAAAGAAAGCGUAAUAGCUCACUGGUCGAGUCGGCCUGCGCGGAAGAUGUAACGGGGCUAAACCAUGCACCGAAGCUGCGGCAGCGACACGAUGUGUUGUUGGGUAGGGGAGCGUUCUGUAAGCCUGCGAAGGUGUGCUGUGAGGCAUGCUGGAGGUAUCAGAAGUGCGAAUGCUGACAUAAGUAACGAUAAAGCGGGUGAAAAGCCCGCUCGCCGGAAGACCAAGGGUUCCUGUCCAACGUUAAUCGGGGCAGGGUGAGUCGACCCCUAAGGCGAGGCCGAAAGGCGUAGUCGAUGGGAAACAGGUUAAUAUUCCUGUACUUGGUGUUACUGCGAAGGGGGGACGGAGAAGGCUAUGUUAGCCGGGCGACGGUUGUCCCG